Molecule: ribosomal RNA, 510 nt
Filed under: uncultured bacterium
Lineage: Bacteria
Description: partial 16S ribosomal RNA
Rfam family: Bacterial small subunit ribosomal RNA
Source: RNAcentral
GACGAACGCUGGCGGCGUGCUUAACACAUGCAAGUCGAACGAAGAGCGAUGGAAGCUUGCUUCUAUCAAUCUUAGUGGCGAACGGGUGAGUAACGCGUAAUCAACCUGCCCUUCAGAGGGGGACAACAGUUGGAAACGACUGCUAAUACCGCAUACGAUCUAAUCUCGGCAUCGAGGAUAGAUGAAAGGUGGCCUCUACAUGUAAGCUAUCACUGAAGGAGGGGAUUGCGUCUGAUUAGCUAGGUGGAGGGGUAACGGCCCACCAAGGCGAUGAUCAGUAGCCGGUCUGAGAGGAUGAACGGCCACAUUGGGACUGAGACACGGCCCAGACUCCUACGGGAGGCAGCAGUGGGGAAUCUUCCGCAAUGGACGAAAGUCUGACGGAGCAACGCCGCGUGAGUGAUGACGGCCUUCGGGUUGUAAAGCUCUGUUAAUCGGGACGAAAGGCCUUCUUGCGAAUAGUGAGAAGGAUUGACGGUACCGGAAUAGAAAGCCACGGCUAACUACGUG